This 74-nucleotide transfer RNA is filed under the name Spirochaetota bacterium. RNAcentral describes it as "Spirochaetes bacterium (groundwater metagenome) tRNA-Ile". It matches the Rfam family "tRNA". Rfam says of the family: Transfer RNA (tRNA) molecules are approximately 80 nucleotides in length. Their secondary structure includes four short double-helical elements and three loops (D, anti-codon, and T loops). Further hydrogen bonds mediate the characteristic L-shaped molecular structure. tRNAs have two regions of fundamental functional importance: the anti-codon, which is responsible for specific mRNA codon recognition, and the 3' end, to which the tRNAs corresponding amino acid is attached (by aminoacyl-tRNA synthetases). tRNAs cope with the degeneracy of the genetic code in two manners: having more than one tRNA (with a specific anti-codon) for a particular amino acid; and 'wobble' base-pairing, i.e. permitting non-standard base-pairing at the 3rd anti-codon position. Lineage: Bacteria; Pseudomonadati; Spirochaetota. The record is from RNAcentral.
GGGCCCAUAGCUCAGUCGGUUAGAGCGGGUGACUCAUAAUCACUAGGUCCGGGGUUCAAGUCCCUGUGGGCCCA